GCCUUCGUGGUGUAACGGUCAGCACACUCGGCGCGUAUUCGAGAGGAUCGAGGUUCAAGUCCCGGCGAGGGCA
Molecule: non-coding RNA, 73 nt
Organism: Stegodyphus mimosarum
Lineage: Eukaryota; Metazoa; Arthropoda; Arachnida; Araneae; Eresidae
Source: Rfam